AGUGCCAUAGCUCAGAGGUAGAGCAUUUGUUUUGCAUGCAGAAGAUCCUAGGUUCAAUCCCUGCUACCACUA
This is a non-coding RNA of Podarcis lilfordi (Lilford's wall lizard), 72 nucleotides long. The record is from the annotation of a GenBank genome assembly. Lineage: Eukaryota; Metazoa; Chordata; Lepidosauria; Squamata; Lacertidae.